CUAGCCGUAAACGAUGGAUACUAGGCGUUGUGAGUAUCGACCCUCACAGUGUCGUAGCUAACGCGUUAAGUAUCCCGCCUGGGGAGUACGCGCGCAAGCGUAAAACUCAAAGGAAUUGACGGGGGCCCGCACAAGCGGUGGAGUAUGUGGUUUAAUUCGAUGCAACGCGAAGAACCUUACCAGGACUUGACAUGUCGCGAAUCUCAGGGAAACUUGAGAGUGCCUUCGGGAGCGCGAACACAGGUGGUGC
This 250-nucleotide ribosomal RNA is filed under the name uncultured Chroococcidiopsis sp. Its description in RNAcentral is "partial 16S ribosomal RNA". It matches the Rfam family "Bacterial small subunit ribosomal RNA", at positions 796 to 1044 of the family's 1533-position model. Lineage: Bacteria; Bacillati; Cyanobacteriota; Cyanophyceae; Chroococcidiopsidales; Chroococcidiopsidaceae. The record is from RNAcentral.